Bubalus bubalis (water buffalo) is the source of this 252-nucleotide long non-coding RNA. RefSeq lists it as uncharacterized. NCBI's taxonomy places the organism in Eukaryota, Metazoa, Chordata, Mammalia, Artiodactyla, Bovidae. The record is from RefSeq and is a predicted model, not a curated record. The transcript has 2 exons.
CAGCUGAGUCACACACACACUUCUACUGCAAAGCGGUUGGCAGGAGGUACAGACUGGUGUGGUGCAAGCAGACAGGAGGGGGAUACCAACUCUAGAUAGCACGCCUCUGCGCAGUCCUUCUGAAGUCUCGGCGCACGUGGGUCGGCCCGCCUGCGGGUCCUCCGCCUGCGCGCGCCGCCGGGGCAUCUUUACCGCCCCGCCCGGCUGGGAGCCCGCCCCCACCCCAGCGCACACGUGGGUUCUCGCACGUCC